GACGAACGCUGGCGGCGUGCUUAACACAUGCAAGUCGAACGGAAAGGCCCUGCUUUUGUGGGGUGCGCGAGUGGCGAACGGGUGAGUAACACGUGAGUAGCCUGUCCUUUACUUUGGGAUAACUUCAUGAAACUGGGGCGAAUACCGGGUAUGAGCUCCUGCUGCAUGGGGUUGGUGUGUAAAUUUCGGCGGUUGGGGAUUGACUCGCGGCUUAUCAGUUUGUUGGUUGGGUAGUGGCUUACCAAGGCUUUGACGAGUAGCCGGCCUGAGAGGGUGACCGGCCACAUUGGGACUGAGAUACGGCCCAGACUCCUACGGGAGGAAGCAGUGGGGAAUAUUGCACAAUGGGCGGAAGCCGGAAGCAGCAACGCCGCGUGCGGGAUGACGGCCUUCGGGGUGGAAACCGCGUUAGCCUGGGAAGAAGAGUGAGUGACGGUAAUGGGUAAAGAAGCAACGGCUAACUACGUG
This 468-nucleotide ribosomal RNA is filed under the name uncultured bacterium. RNAcentral's name for it is "partial 16S ribosomal RNA". It matches the Rfam family "Bacterial small subunit ribosomal RNA", at positions 28 to 507 of the family's 1533-position model. The record is from RNAcentral.